CUUCUCCGAGAGGUCAUCACACCACUGUGCUCCUCUCGUCAAGAAGAGGCGCGAGCACAAGAAGAAGCCGAGUAUUUCAAGCCUCCGAGCCCUAGAUCUUCUUCCUCUCCUUCGGUUGUAAGUCCAAGCAAAUCCCGAUAAAGGAAAAGGAAAAGUAUAAGAAGGAAGGCGACAAGGAGAUGCUGUGACAGUGUGUGUGAUGCCAGGACUAAGGAGAGAUCCAGGGUUCGCUAGCGAAUUUUCAGGACCUACCUAUUUAGAGUUUUAGUUUAUGUUAUUAUGAAGUUGAGAUUGUAAUUGAGUUAUUCCGCACUUGUAGCUUGUAUGUCCUAUCGUUGGAGUUCUAUCUGUUUAUUA
Molecule: long non-coding RNA, 357 nt
Organism: Zingiber officinale
Lineage: Eukaryota; Viridiplantae; Streptophyta; Magnoliopsida; Zingiberales; Zingiberaceae
Exons: 2
Source: RefSeq, a predicted model, not a curated record